CAGUCGCCGCGGUAAUACAGAGGGUGCAAGCGUUAAUCGGAAUUACUGGGCGUAAAGCUCGCGUAGGUGGUUUGUUAAGUUGGAUGUGAAAUCCCCGGGCUCAACCUGGGAACUGCAUCCAAAACUGGCAAGCUAGAGUAUGGUAGAGGGUGGUGGAAUUUCCUGUGUAGCGGUGAAAUGCGUAGAUAUAGGAAGGAACACCAGUGGCGAAGGCGACCACCUGGACUGAUACUGACACUGGGGUGCGAAAGCGUGGGGAGCAAACAGGAUUAGAUACCCCGUAGUCCUGUCUCUUAUACAC
Molecule: ribosomal RNA, 301 nt
Filed under: uncultured bacterium
Lineage: Bacteria
Description: partial 16S ribosomal RNA
Rfam family: Bacterial small subunit ribosomal RNA
Source: RNAcentral